This 345-nucleotide long non-coding RNA is filed under the name Bos taurus (domestic cattle). Its description in RNAcentral is "long non-coding RNA NONBTAT025736". Lineage: Eukaryota; Metazoa; Chordata; Mammalia; Artiodactyla; Bovidae. The record is from RNAcentral.
UCAACAGGGGGAAAGGAGGAUAAAAUAGUUAAGUAGGAAAGGGUUAAAAGAAGAAAGGAAAUAAUGUGGGGAAACACCUAGCAGCUGAACAAUUGUAUCUGCACAAUUGUAUCCUCAAUGAAGCCAAAUGACCUUAGCUUUUUCUAAAGAUUUGUAAAAUAAUGGAAGUAAACUUAUAAUAAGGAAACUGAAAUCUAUGGGAUCCACAUCUGCUUUUAAACUUGAUACCAUAGGAAAAUUUAGAUAUUUAAUGAAUCGCUGAUCAUACAGAAACAAAAUAUGGGUGGAUUGCUAAUCAUUAUAUGUCCUUUAAUAUUUCCAACAACUUGUAAAACCUCCAAACUU